RNAcentral lists this ribosomal RNA (1725 nucleotides) under Salmonella enterica. RNAcentral describes it as "bacterial LSU rRNA". It matches the Rfam family "Bacterial large subunit ribosomal RNA", at positions 1223 to 2925 of the family's 2925-position model. Lineage: Bacteria; Pseudomonadati; Pseudomonadota; Gammaproteobacteria; Enterobacterales; Enterobacteriaceae. The record is from RNAcentral.
GUUGGGUAGGGGAGCGUUCUGUAAGCCUGUGAAGGUGGCCUGUGAGGGUUGCUGGAGGUAUCAGAAGUGCGAAUGCUGACAUAAGUAACGAUAAAGCGGGUGAAAAGCCCGCUCGCCGGAAGACCAAGGGUUCCUGUCCAACGUUAAUCGGGGCAGGGUGAGUCGACCCCUAAGGCGAGGCCGAAAGGCGUAGUCGAUGGGAAACGGGUUAAUAUUCCCGUACUUGGUGUUACUGCGAAGGGGGGACGGAGAAGGCUAUGUUGGCCGGGCGACGGUUGUCCCGGUUUAAGCGUGUAGGUGUGUGUUCCAGGUAAAUCCGGUUCACUUUAACACUGAGGCGUGACGACGAGGCACUACGGUGCUGAAGCAACAAAUGCCCUGCUUCCAGGAAAAGCCUCUAAGCAUCAGGUAACAUCAAAUCGUACCCCAAACCGACACAGGUGGUCAGGUAGAGAAUACCAAGGCGCUUGAGAGAACUCGGGUGAAGGAACUAGGCAAAAUGGUGCCGUAACUUCGGGAGAAGGCACGCUGACACGUAGGUGAAGUGAUUUACUCAUGGAGCUGAAGUCAGUCGAAGAUACCAGCUGGCUGCAACUGUUUAUUAAAAACACAGCACUGUGCAAACACGAAAGUGGACGUAUACGGUGUGACGCCUGCCCGGUGCCGGAAGGUUAAUUGAUGGGGUCAGCGCAAGCGAAGCUCCUGAUCGAAGCCCCGGUAAACGGCGGCCGUAACUAUAACGGUCCUAAGGUAGCGAAAUUCCUUGUCGGGUAAGUUCCGACCUGCACGAAUGGCGUAAUGAUGGCCAGGCUGUCUCCACCCGAGACUCAGUGAAAUUGAACUCGCUGUGAAGAUGCAGUGUACCCGCGGCAAGACGGAAAGACCCCGUGAACCUUUACUAUAGCUUGACACUGAACAUUGAGCCUUGAUGUGUAGGAUAGGUGGGAGGCUUUGAAGUGUGGACGCCAGUCUGCGUGGAGCCGACCUUGAAAUACCACCCUUUAAUGUUUGAUGUUCUAACGUGGACCCGUAAUCCGGGUUGCGGACAGUGUCUGGUGGGUAGUUUGACUGGGGCGGUCUCCUCCUAAAGAGUAACGGAGGAGCACGAAGGUUGGCUAAUCCUGGUCGGACAUCAGGAGGUUAGUGCAAUGGCAUAAGCCAGCUUGACUGCGAGCGUGACGGCGCGAGCAGGUGCGAAAGCAGGUCAUAGUGAUCCGGUGGUUCUGAAUGGAAGGGCCAUCGCUCAACGGAUAAAAGGUACUCCGGGGAUAACAGGCUGAUACCGCCCAAGAGUUCAUAUCGACGGCGGUGUUUGGCACCUCGAUGUCGGCUCAUCACAUCCUGGGGCUGAAGUAGGUCCCAAGGGUAUGGCUGUUCGCCAUUUAAAGUGGUACGCGAGCUGGGUUUAGAACGUCGUGAGACAGUUCGGUCCCUAUCUGCCGUGGGCGCUGGAGAACUGAGGGGGGCUGCUCCUAGUACGAGAGGACCGGAGUGGACGCAUCACUGGUGUUCGGGUUGUCAUGCCAAUGGCACUGCCCGGUAGCUAAAUGCGGAAGAGAUAAGUGCUGAAAGCAUCUAAGCACGAAACUUGCCCCGAGAUGAGUUCUCCCUGAGACUUUAGGUCUCCUGAAGGAACGUUGAAGACGACGACGUUGAUAGGCCGGGUGUGUAAGCGCAGCGAUGCGUUGAGCUAACCGGUACUAAUGAACCGUGAGGCUUAACCUU